Long non-coding RNA from Gallus gallus (chicken), 983 nucleotides. NCBI's taxonomy places the organism in Eukaryota, Metazoa, Chordata, Aves, Galliformes, Phasianidae. The record is from Ensembl.
GUUUCUUUGUUUGUUUGUUUGUUUCUGUUUUUAACUUUAUUCAAUUUUAUAUUACAUUCUUUCUUGAGAAUCACUCCCUUUAAAAUUUUCUGGAAAUGUUUAUCAAGAAUUAGUCUUCUUUAAAAUCAUAAUUCAUGCUUUCACUCAUACCUGUCCUCAAAUACGUCACUACAGGCAAAAAUAAUGUACUGAUGGACAGUUGUCUGAAUAUGAGCCAGCAGUGUGCCCAGGUGGCCAAGAAGGCCAAUGGCAUCCUGGCUUGUAUCAGGAAUGGUGUGGUGAGCAGGACGAGGGAAGUCAUCCUGCCCCUGUACUCGGCAUUGGUGAGGCCUCACCUUGAGUACUGUGUUCAGUUUUGGGAACCUCAGUACAAGAAAGACAUGGAGGUACUGGAGCAGGUCCAGAGAAGGGCAAUGAGGCUAGUGAAAGGCUUGGAAAAUCAGCCCUAUGAGGAGAGGCUGAGGGAGCUGGGGCUGUUUAGUCUGGUGAAGAGGAGGCUGAGGGGAGACCUUAUUACUUUCUUCCAGUACCUGAAAAGUGCUUACAGUGAGAGCAGGGUAGGUCUCUUCUCACUGGUGACAAGUGACAAGACAAGGGGAAAUGGCCUCAAGUUGCGCCAAGGCAAGUUUAGGUUGGACGUUAGGAAACACUUCUUUACAGAAGGGGUGGUUAAGCACUGGAGUAGGCUCCCCAGGGAGGUGGUUGAGUCACCAUCCCUGGAUGUGUUUAAGAGCUGUUUGGAUGUGGUGCUCAGAGAUAUGAUUUAGCAGAGGGUUGUUAGAGUUAGGGUUCUAUGGUUAGGCUGCGGUUGGACUUGAUGAUCUCUGAGGUCCUUUCCAACCUGAGUAAUUCUAUGAUUCUAUGAUUCUAUGAUUUUGUGAAUACAGAAGACUUAUUUCAAAGAAACAAUGAGUACUACUACUUUUCCACUGACGUGUUCCCUUUGUGCUAUUGUAGCUGACUUCAUUCUAUUCCCACUCUUU